UUUAUGGAGAGUUUGAUCCUGGCUCAGGAUGAACGCUGGCGGCGUGCCUAAUACAUGCAAGUCGAGCGAACGGACGAGAAGCUUGCUUCUCUGAUGUUAGCGGCGGACGGGUGAGUAACACGUGGAUAACCUACCUAUAAGACUGGGAUAACUUCGGGA
RNAcentral lists this ribosomal RNA (159 nucleotides) under Staphylococcus aureus. Its description in RNAcentral is "partial 16S ribosomal RNA". It matches the Rfam family "Bacterial small subunit ribosomal RNA", at positions 1 to 154 of the family's 1533-position model. The record is from RNAcentral. Lineage: Bacteria; Bacillati; Bacillota; Bacilli; Caryophanales; Staphylococcaceae.